Molecule: long non-coding RNA, 1317 nt
Filed under: Zonotrichia albicollis (white-throated sparrow)
Lineage: Eukaryota; Metazoa; Chordata; Aves; Passeriformes; Passerellidae
Description: lncRNA (ENSZALG00000000402.1)
Source: RNAcentral
UUUUUUUUUUUUCCCCCAUCUAUUUUUUGUGUUUCCUGCUAAAUUUCCAUCCUGAUUUUCCUGCUGGUUGCCCUUUUCCUUGGGAUUCCUCUCCUCAUCCCCAAAAACCUCAGUUUGGGAAACUGUCGAAACCCAGUGUAAAAUUCCCCAUUCUGAGGUUUUGCCUGGAUCCUUCCCUUCUCCAGGCUGGACAUUCCCAGCCUGGCUCCAGAGCAGAGGAGCUCCAACCCUUGGAGCAUCUCCACAUUCUCCCCUGGAAUUGCUCCAGCAGCUCCACAUCCCUCCAAUCCUGGACACCGAGAUUUGCCUGGAUCCUUCCCUUCUCCAGGCUGGACAUUCCCAGCUCCUCCCAGCCUGGCUCCAGAGCAGAGGAGCUCCAACCCUUGGAAGCAUCUCCACAUUCUCCUCUGGAAUUGCUCCACAUCCCUUCAAUCCUGGACAUCGAGAUUUGCGUGGAUCCUUCCCUUCUCCAGGUUGGACAUUCCCAACUCUUCCCAGCCUGGCUCCAGAGCAGAGGAGCUCCAAACUUUGGAGCAUCUCCAUGGCCUCCUCUGGAAUUGCUCCAGCAGCUCCACAUCCCUCCAAUCCUGGACACUGAGGUUUGCCUGGAUCCUUCCCUUCUCCAGGUUGGACAUUCCCAACUCUUCCCAGCCUGGCUCCAGAGCAGAGGAGCUCCAACCCUUGGAGCAUCUCCAUGUCUCCAUGGCCUCCUCUGGAAUUGCUCCAGCAGCUCCACAUCCCUCCAAUCCUGGACACUGAGAUUUGCCUGGAUCCUUCCCUUCUCCAGGUUGGACAUUCCCAGCCUGGCUCCAGAGCAGAAGAGCUCCAACCCUUGGAGCAUCUCCAUGGCCUCCUCUGGAUGUGCUCCACAUCCCUCCAAUCCUGGACACCGAGAUUUGCCUGGAUCCUUCCCUUCUCCAGGUUGGACACUCCCAACUCUUCCUAGCCUGGCUCCAGAGCAGAGGAGCUCCAACCCUUGGAGCAUCUCCAUGUUCUCCUCUGGAAUUGCUCCACAUCCCUCCAAUCCUGAACACCGAGAUUUGCCUGGAUCCUUCCCUUCUCCAGGUUGGACAUUCCCAGCCUGGCUCCAGAGCAGAGGAGCUCCAACCCUUGGAAGCAUCUCCAUGGCCUCCUCUGGAAUUGCUCCACAUCCCUCCAAUCCUGGACACCAAGAUUUGCCUGGAUCCUUCCCUUCUCCAGGUUGGACAUUCCCAGCUCUUCCCAGCCUGGCUCCAGAGCAGAGGAGCUCCAACCCCUGGGAGCAUUUCCACAUUCUCCUCUGGAAUUGCUCCAGCAGCUCCACAUCCCUCCAAUCCU